UACGGAGGAUGCGAGCGUUAUCCGGGUUUAUUGGGUUUAAAGGGUGCGUAGGCGGUCCGUUAAGUCAGCGGUAAAAUUGCGGGGCUCAACCCCGUCGAGCCGUUGAAACUGGCAGACUUGAGUUGGCGAGAAGUACGCGGAAUGCGCGGUGUAGCGGUGAAAUGCAUAGAUAUCGCGCAGAACUCCGAUUGCGAAGGCAGCGUACCGGCGCCAGACUGACGCUGAGGCACGAAAGCGUGGGGAUCGAACAGG
RNAcentral lists this ribosomal RNA (252 nucleotides) under uncultured bacterium. Its description in RNAcentral is "partial 16S ribosomal RNA". It matches the Rfam family "Bacterial small subunit ribosomal RNA", at positions 524 to 776 of the family's 1533-position model. The record is from RNAcentral.